This is a long non-coding RNA of Numida meleagris (helmeted guineafowl), 8429 nucleotides long. RefSeq lists it as uncharacterized. The transcript is spliced from 2 exons. The record is from RefSeq and is a predicted model, not a curated record. NCBI's taxonomy places the organism in Eukaryota, Metazoa, Chordata, Aves, Galliformes, Numididae.
UCCGGCCGCUCCGUCCUUGUCCCCGUCGUUGGGAUGUACCAGAACUGCUCGCACUUGGGCCGGGGAAGGUCAGAGAUGGGGAAACAGGUGAAAAUGGGAAGGUGAGCGCUGCCUGACUCCACAGACAGCUCCACUGAGUCUGUUUGUUCCUAGGUUCAAGGCAGAAAGAUGUUCUGAACGUGGAGCUGGCCCUUAGGGCAACGUCCUGUACUGGGCAGUUUGGCCUCCAGACAGAUCUCUGGUGAGCUCGCACUGUCGUUAUGCCCUUGGCUGAUGACACGGAUCUAAAUUCUGUUCUCUUCUUUAACCCCUCUGCGUGAAAGCUGAAAAUGGAGAAACGGUGCAGUGUGGCCAAAAAGUGAGCGAGGUGUGUGAGUGGGGAGCGGUGGGUGGUGAAUUCCUGCGGGAGAGAAGGACGCAUUCCUGCAGCGUCCCGUUAAAGCAGUGAUAACUGUAGCUCUUGCAUGGGCUCUGUGGGGAUGCUCACAGGAUGCAGCUCUGUGAGGCAGUUUUUGUGAUGAAGUGGGACCUGAAUAUGUGACAGCUUUACAUCUCCUUGUUCAGUGAUGGCGCUGAUACUGGGUGAUGGAGUGAGCCAGGGUACAGCACAGCACUGCCCGGGCCUUUGGGAACCAAGGUCCCUGUGAUCCCAAGGUCCCGAGGGACUGAGCUCUGUAAGGACCUUCUGCACCGCGGAAAGGGCGCGUGCCUUCAUCCCAGUGCUUUCUGCCCAUUCACUGCAGUGGUGCCUGAGCAGAAAUCGAAUUGACAGAGGCACUAUCCGGAGACAAAGGCAUUUAAUCCCGGAUGUCUUUCCCUGAGAUAAACAGUAGGGUUUUAUGACAGCUAUUUGAAGGACAGUUCACAUACGAUAACAGUGUUUUGUUCGUCUCUAAUAAGGAAAAUACACUGGAGCCUGAGUUCACAUCAGUGUGUUUGUCAUUAGUAACGGAUCAAUAGUUCUGGGAAAAGGAGAGAAGAACUUGGAAUCUUCCUAAAUAAUCACAUUCUGAGAGGUCUGAUGGAGGUAACACGCUUUUCUGGCUCCAGGGUCAAUGUGAAAUGAAAGGAAAGAGCCAAUAAUUUUAUUUAUACAAAUUAAACUGAAAAACAAAACCAAGAAGCCGUUAGUUUACGUCACGGCAGCCUGACUGGAAGCUCUGGUCUGUUCAGUCUGAAAAUCAGAGCUGGAAAAAGCCAUUUGAAACAAUCUUUCUCACCAAAGUGGGGCAGGAUGAACAGUAGCCCGAUGCGUUGUCGUUCUUACAGGACGUUAAUUGCCUGAGAGCUACAUCCAGGCUCCUGUGCUAACUUACCCGGUAUCUGCCAGCUCAUUUACUUUAACAGGUAGUAGUCAUUGUCACUGGACUGGCAGGUGCUAGCAAAGUUGAUUGAAAGCAGCUGCCCUGUAGUGUUUGAGUGAGUCAUGUAGCAAGGGGUUAGUCAGACUGGAUUUGCAUUUAGAGAAGAAAAUUCACUAGAAUAAGUCUUGAUUUUGUUGCUUUGAUUGGGAUCUGUUUUAUUAGAUGAACCUGAUCUAUGUAAUUAGCAACGAGCUCACCUUUGAUUUAAACCUGCUGAUUCACAAAUUGCGUAUUGGUGAGGUGAGUAACUUGUGUCAACAUGUCUUUGUUCUCAGAAACAUUAGAGAGGAGUCUGCCCUGAACCUGGGGCUUUUGUUCUGUUCAAUGCCGCCUGACUCGUAAAUGUUGGUGUAGUCUUUUUAAAUGAUUCCCGUUGUUUUUAUUAGCGCUCAUUGUCUCCUCUUUUCUUCUCUUUCUCGCUGUGUCAGCCUAGAAUUGCAAAGGGCUGGAAUCCUUUUAGCAUUUUAACACUUCCUUAGCAAACAUCCUGCUGUUCUAUUGUUGCCCUCCUGAAGUGUGGGAGCUCUUUUUUGAGGGAAAAUAUCUCCAAACUCUAGGAACUGAGUUUGCUCUUGUGUUUGGGCACAUCUGCUUUGCUGCAAGCAUCACUGAGUGCAGAUCUUCAGCCUUUUAGCCCUGUUCUCCAGGGCAAAAAUUUUGUGCUCUAGUUCUUCCAGGCUCCUAUUUGUCACCUAUUUUUCAAGGAGCAUAGGAUGUAGCUUCUCUUUCGAGAAGAGCUUUGGUUGCUUACCCUAAGAGCAAAGACCCGUGCAGAAAUCCCCAUUGGGUAACAAAACCUUCUCCAGGGGAAAUGUCCUUGAGCUAGUUUGAACUGAAAGCUCCCAAUUUCACAGUGCCUUUGGUUGGAAAAUGUAAAUGUUCAAAGAGCUGUGACACGAUUAAAGAUUUUCUUGUCACCCUCCGAAGUAAGAAUGCAGUCUCUCCGCUUCCCCUCCUUGUUUGUGUAGAUCAGGUUUAUAGGAGUGACCAAAACCAGCGUAGGAUGCCUGUGUCCCUUCUGGGCAAUGGACCCAAGAAGGUGGUCGUGUUUUUUGCGCCCUUGCUUUUUGUCCCAGUUGCACUUCUGGUUUGGAACCUGGGCUCUGAACUCCUUUCAGAGAGCUCUGUGGGGCCCUGGGCCAUAGCCCCUCGCUCCUUCUCUCUGGCAGAGUUCUGCUCCAGCUCAGCUCACUGCACUACAGGUUUUUGCACCACCUGAAUCUCUCUCUCUUUUUUUUUUUUUUUUUUUGAAGUUCAGUUCUAUGUGGUUUGGUUCCAGUUAUUCAUAAUUAUCGCCUUUUCCAGACACUGCACUGCAGCAUUUCCAAGCUCGCUAUGAAAAAAGUGUAGACUUACUGAGCCUACAGAUACAUCAUGUGGUUGUGCUGCAAACCCCUGACUUCUGCAGCUAAGCAAACACUGGGGAAGAAGGAGCACCGACAUCUUCCUCUCUUGCAGCUGAGAAUCAUAGAACGUACCACAACCAUUUUAACUGAACGGGAUGCCUUCAAGGGAGGCAGUGGUGUUCUGUCACACACAGAAGUGGAGAUACGGCAACGCUGAGGUACUGCUCCCAUCAAGAGGUUCUAAUUGUGGUUGCUGUGUAGAAUGGUCAGCCUUGCUGUCUCAGGGUACCCACUCCUGUCAAUCCCUGCUGCCUUACCUCUUUGUCUUGGUGUGGUGAAAGCAGCGAGGUCUGAGGGCUGGUCCUGCGAGGCAGCGAGCACACAUACAGAGCAGUGACUGCUCGGCCCCUCCUGUGCUUUUUGGUGAGGUAGGAAAGAGUUAAAGACAGCAGAGGGCGAGUGCUGUGCUAUUGUUCAGGCAUUGCUCUGCAUCCAGGGCUGCUGCUCUCUAUUCCCGGAUCUGCCUCUGGCUUCCUGCACGACCUCGGGCUGCUCACCCACCUUUGCUUUGCUUUAGUUCCCGAACGGCAGCAUGGCAAUCAUUCUCUUCCUGUAGUGCCACAUGCCUUGCUGGCUUUAGGGAGGCUGAGGUUCUCUGAUGAGAGGAGAUGGGAGAAAGAGAACACAUUUCCACUGGAGAAGUAAUUGCACAGAGCACAGUAAUUUUUGAACGCGCCCUUGUUCACUCGGGCACAGCAGAGUGCACGGAACUGCUUGUGUUUUUAGCAGGCGAAAGUCAAAUUCCAUUUGUCGCGGAGGCAGAGCAGUGUCAGUUGCAGUGUUCCCUUUUCUCACUAGAUGGUGCUUUUGAUCAAAGAUACGAAUAACCGCAGCUCUGCGCGGAAUUUCCUUACGUUUCUUCCCCCAUCUCCAUUCCUCCCUCUCUUCUUUCCGUGCUGUAACACUAUGGGGGACACUUAACGAUGCUGGAUGUUGGGCAAGGCUCAUCUGGCAGCGCUGCUCGCAGCUCCCACCAGCCGGUUGUGUCUGGGCUCAGUUCUCGCAGCGUGGAUCGGUGCUGCCGGGCCGUGGCAGAGAAUUGAAUUCUUUCCGUGUUUUCUAUUCCCAUAAGGAAAAGGCUUCAAAGAGCAGGUCCCCUCCCCCUCUCUGCUGGUGAAGGGCAUUUAGGGAAGCUGGGGAAAAAAAAUCCGGCUCUGACAGACGCAUUUAUUUAACGAACCACAGCCUUUCCCUACCUUAGCAGAAGAUGGGUUGUUUUUGUUUUUUUAAAUAGAGAAUUGCUGUUUUUAUAUCCAUGUUGUAUUCAGCAGAUAGUUGCCUAGCCAAGGUCAUUGCUGCUGCAUGCCAGCACCGCGCCGUGAGCCAGCACCUGCUCCCUGAAUGAGCACUGCGAGGCUUCCCCAGGUAAAGAAUGGGACCGAAUCUGCCCGUGCCAGGUCCCACCGCCGCUGCUGGGUAGAGCAAGCCACACUCACAGCCCUCCCUUGUAUAAAGGCAGCGGAGGAGGUGAAUGGAAUUGUAACCAAACACUUCCUGCGCAGACAUGCACAGGGCUCUGUUAGGAGCGGUGAGAGGCACAGCGGGGCGUGCGGUGCUGUGUGUCAUCUCGCAGAGAACCACUGUGUGCUGGCCCCUCGGAGCCCCCCCCCGUGGCCUUCUCCUGCAGCAGCUCCGCUGCCUCGGGUCGGUGUGCUCAGCUCUCCCCGCAGCCCACGGUGCCGCUGCCCGGCUGAGCCGCCUGCUGCACACCCGCACCCCGCUCCCAUCGGGUUGCAUCACGCCCAGCUUCCUCCCCGUGGAAUUUUACAACUGUUAAUGAAUGGGGCUGGAACAUUGCUGUGCCGCCGGGCUGCUGCGCGCGGAUUUAUGGUCUGAGGCCAGCGGAGAUUGUGCUCCUGCCUCUGGCACUACACCGAUGACAGCAAUGCCGCGUGUGUGCCAACGAGCCCGCAAGGCCAGCGCCCGCAGCAGCCCUGUGCUCACGUGCUGCGUGUUAUGCUCAUGGCAGUGACGUCCCCGCAGCAGGGACACGAGCUAUGCAAAUUUGCAGUGCGACACAAAACUCCUCUCGGGACUGGGAGCUGACAGCGAUUUCUUUGUCAUUCCCCCGUCGUCGUCUUCCCACUGCACAUACGUUUGUUCAUCCUUAGUAAGAUAUUGCUGAUGACUGAAGCCUGGGUCUGCAUCACAGGCAGUCUGCUUGAAGGAGCAAUCCAGAACGGCGGGGCUCAGGAUCGUGAGAAGCGGGGACAGUGCAUUUCCUCACGUCUAUGGGAUGUGGAGAGCAGUCCCUCCUGGCUGGCAGGGAAUUGCAUCACCUCUUGUACAGAUAGAUAUUUUUCUCUGCAAUGUGCGUGUUGUGUUGUUUGCCUCUGGUGGAAUUUGCCAGCACGACCCAAACUGUGUGGUUCUGAAAUGUAGAACCACAUACCUGUGUGGGGGAGAGAAUGAGCGGUUUGCGCUUCGUUCAAUCUGGCUCUUCCCUCCCUCCUCCCUUCUCCCCACAUCCCCGUGCGUUACAAAGCCAGCUGCUCCCAGAAUAGGUUGGGAAUGAAAUGUCACCGUUUGAAACUGGUGAGUCACACUUUUUGAAGCUGGGGGGGGGAGGGAAUAUGAAAUCCUGCGGUGUGGCAGAGCGUCUCCUGGUGAGCGCAGAGAGAUUUUGCAAACCACAGGCUCCCUGCUGAUGGAGUCGAGGGGCUUUGCAUGCAGCCUGCUGGGUGUGUCCGUGCUGCUUUCUGCAGGAGGAUGGCAAAACCUGCUGCAAACUUCAGUUGUCUGAUGGAACAUACCCGCUGCAGCCGGAUCCCAGCGCCUUCCCGACAGGACUAGGUCGUAUCUGACAGCGCACCUACAGUGACUCUCUUAAUUAAGUCUCCCUGCACCGCUGUGAGUGAGUUACCUCGUGCUGUGGUCUGCAAGGAGCUGAACCAGCAACGCUGCAGGGCUGUAAGCUGCAGCAGGGACGCAGGCGUGAGCCAAGGAACCGGGGAAGAAAAAGAUGCCCCUGCAGAUACCGGGUAUGGCAUCACCAUCACGUUGGAGCUUCCAGCUGCUCCAAUGAGUUGUGAGUGGCAGUGGGUCAUCAGUUCUGAAGCGUGGUGGUAUCGUAGCGCUCAGGGUUCUCGUCUUAGCCUGUUUUUUCUCUAGCAUGAGUUUGCCUCCCCAGAUCCUGAAUGAGGAAUCCCUUUAGCUUACAGUUUCUGGCAGAUAGCUCCCAAGACAAUGUUGGGCGCGAUCAGUACGAGUGUACCCUAUUGAAAAGCAGCUUAGUUCCUAGAAUGAAGUUAGCAUCGCUUCAAACCGAGUAACAAAAGAUGAAUUUAUGGAGCGUGCAGCUCGAAUACCGAAUUCAGUAAGCAUUUGAAGUUUCAAAGAUUCAUGAUGCUUUCUUUAAAACUAAAUGGGUUUUUGCCCAACUCAAAGGAUUUUGUUGGACCGCUUGUUGUGGGAUUUCCCAGGUUGCCUGAGGCCACACGUGCUCAGCUCCGAGGCAAAGCUCGUGCCUAACGAUGGAAGUCUACCUAACGUGAACAAGCAUUUCAGCUCAUUCAGACGAGCCAGUAUUACUACUGAUUUGGUUUGGGGAAAAAAAUAAAUAAAUGGGGGGUGAGGGGGAGGGUGGCGACCAAAAUGACGUGGUUGGACAUUCAUUAGCAAAGCAUUGUCAGAAAACAAUAGAAGAACAGACAAAAGUCAGCCCAGAUUCUGUGGUAUUUCCUAAAGGGCUCCCUCUGGCACAUGGCUGCUCCCUGCCAAUCCUUCCGUAUUGUUUUUGAUAAUGAAUAGAAGCUGAACAGAUGAUUGUUGCAUUGUCCACUAAGUGAUUCAUUUACAUUAAAUACUGCUCCGAAAGGAGGCUUUGGGUAGACUUUUUUAGUCACUCCGGUUAUUUAUUUGUACAAUUUAAUUACCAUCUUUUAAUUCUCCACUGUACAUAAUUAUUUCCUGAUUGCUUCAGCUAAAUUACAUGGGUUGUAACUCCUCAGAAGUCAGUGGUCCAACAAGCCCUGACAUCAGCAGCAGCAUCUCCACAUUUUCAGAGAUGUUUAGGUUUGAACAGUCAUCUGAGCUGCUCCUUUUGGGGGAAGGUGCUGAGGUUUUGCGGCAUCUGUCUGCAGGUGUUGUUUCAUUUUGUUUGGAAAGGUGUGGACAGAUGUGAGAAGUUUGAGGGCUUAUUGUCACUACUGCAGUUAGGAGGGCUUCACUGCAAGAAGGCAUUUAGUCCCAAAUCCACAUCCACAACUGCAGGUACUUUGAUUCACUGUGUACUGAUGGGUAGGGGAGAAUGACACAUCCUGAAGGGAUUUUUGAUGCCAAAGAAUGUAAAGAAAUCAACACUCCAGGCUUUUCUAGCUCCUGGUGUCUGAGAAGUUGGAUGACUUUGCAUUUGUUGAAUAGCUGUAGUUACAUCUCAAAAGCCCUGAUUUCCUAUGCAAUCUCUCUUCUGUUCUGUUCCCCCUUCCCUGUACCACACAGAGAGGUUCAGCACGGGCUUUUGGUUCUGUGUGAAACAGGUCUUAAAGUCUGAAGCAGGGCAGCAAAAUAGUUAAGCAGAAGGGGAAAGGACCAGUCCUAAUAGUGCUGAGUUGUUCAUGUAAUAGGGCCUAGGUUUAAAUCCCCCAGGACAAAGCAAAGCAGCUCUUUCUGAUGUUUUCUGAGCCCCUUCUCCAUCCAGUUACGAAAAAGUAAAUCACCACUCCUGUGCCGAGGUAUAAAAUAAACAAGGUUUUGUUCUGAAGAGUUUAUGUGUCUCUACCUGCCAAGGUGAGACAUGAAAGAGGCUGACUCUUUGCCGUCAGUUUCCCAUGAACACCUAAGUCAAAAGAGCAUGGAGGACAAGAGUGUUCCAAUAUCCCUGUAGCCUUCCAGCUGUGAAAGGCAUUGCACUAAAGCUCUUUGCCAUUCUCUGCUGCUGGAGCUGCUGAACCUGAGCAGAAGUUCCAAAUGGCUUCCAAAGGUUUUGGCUUCUUAGUGUGUUGUGUUUCUGUUACCCUGCUUCAGGAACUGUCUUGGAUUGGUCUGUGUCUAAAGCAGACUAUCCACCCAUUAUCAUCUCCCUGCACUUGGUCUUCUUUUGGGCUAGAUGUAAUCUUUAGAAACUCAGAUAAAACUCGGCAGGCACACAAACAAAGCCAGCCCUCCUUCUGCCAUGAAACCACAACUGCCUGUACUGCCAGUGCUUCCCCCGCUGCCUCCCACUUUAACCCUGCAGCACUGCUCUCCUUGUAUUCUCGCCCUCCCAGGAGCCCACAUUGCUCUGUAUUUAGUGGCAGGCGAUGAAACCAUGCAUUAGCAGCUCCAUAAUAGCUUUGCUCAGUGGAACCCAGCUUCCUUCAUUAAUCCAGAAAAUGAGAGUUGUUUUCGUACAUUUGAGAAGCUAAUUAUUUAAGUGCUGAGAAUUAAGGCUCAUCAGAUAGUGGAGACUGAUUUUGGCUUUGUUUCCCAGGUGAGGAACAAGAUGGAAGGAAGCUGCUUUGACACAGGUGUGCAGCAUGGUAGCUCCCCGGUACUUGGGGUGGAGAGCAGCAGUGUGCAGAUCCCUUUCUAAAGCCUCUCUCUGUACAUCUCCUUUCUUCCAGACAUCAUCUGAUGAUUCUCCUCAUUUGAAUAGGCUUUGAAUAUAUCUUCUGAUCAAAUAAUGCUACAGCUUUAUUUUUACCACCAUAAAAGAGAGGUACCCCAUACCUGAAUAUUU